UAGAGACUCAUCAAAUGGUUGC
RNAcentral lists this non-coding RNA (22 nucleotides) under Arabidopsis thaliana (thale cress). The record is from RNAcentral. Lineage: Eukaryota; Viridiplantae; Streptophyta; Magnoliopsida; Brassicales; Brassicaceae.